Molecule: non-coding RNA, 1045 nt
Organism: Cricetulus griseus (Chinese hamster)
Lineage: Eukaryota; Metazoa; Chordata; Mammalia; Rodentia; Cricetidae
Source: RefSeq, a predicted model, not a curated record
GUUGGCCCCACCCCAAUAUCCACCUCAUCUAUGAACUGCUGGAGCUUGUAAAGGGGAUGAACCUACAGUUCCAAAGUAGCAGGAUCUCUAUGACACAGGGCAACCAGGAUAUCCAAGAGGAGCCCCAGUGAAAGCCCAUUAUCAGUGGCGUAUCAGAAUCCAGAGACCUCCAGCCGGAACAACGACUCCUGGCAAUGAACACUUAGAAGAUGAACAGACUAACGGGUUAACUCUGGUCCUUUGGCACAUUCUCGAAUGGUUCCUGUCUCUGCUUCCCUGAUUUAAUUCGACUCACCUGGAGGUGCCUGUGGGCCCAUGUGCAUAUGAAGAACAUCUUCAGGCUUACCACCCGCAGGAUGGGUCCAGGGUUGAGUCCUUGACUAUGAAGUCAUCUUUGAUCCUCAACUGAAACAGUCCACACCAGUAGCUGCCCUUUGGAGAAGACAGGGAUGGAACAGCAUGAGCAGAGAAAAUGCGAGACGCGUGUUGUGCUGUAUGCAGGUUGCCCUUUCAUCGACAGCCUGGCUCACUGGGGCAGAUAUUCCUGUAUGGAAGAUUUUGAAGAUCUGUGUGGUCUGUUCAGAUUCCAUUGGGUUGAUCUUGGCUCUGCCCAGGGCUAAUGUGGCUCUGAUAAGGAGUCCCUUUGCUGAGUUGUUUCAGAUUCUAAGAAGCUGGGAGAAUUACUGGGUUCAACUUGAUUCUCCAAGAGCACAGGGCCAUGUCUUGUCUGGUUCUAAGAUUCCCAUGAGACUUUUGAACAGUGUGAUUCCCCAUCAACUAACAUUAUUAUUAAUCACACAUCUCUUAACCCUUGAAUGAUGCCAAAUGCUUUAGAAGGAGGCUGUGUAUUCAGCACACUCACUGUGGGACACUGAUACUCUCCAGAGAAUUGAAGAUGUAAUCAAAACUGUUGCAAGGAGAUUAAACCAACUCUCUAUAUGUCAUUAUAAACUACAAUUAAAUAGAUAGGACUAUGGCCAUCUGCUAUUCACUAAGGAUCUGUUUUUCAUAAGCAUUUUAAUAAAAUCACUUCAUUUCUGUGAAA